Molecule: ribosomal RNA, 1163 nt
Filed under: Diaporthales sp. SS-2016
Lineage: Eukaryota; Fungi; Ascomycota; Sordariomycetes; Diaporthales
Description: SSU rRNA
Rfam family: Eukaryotic small subunit ribosomal RNA
Source: RNAcentral
CGUGGUAAUUCUAGAGCUAAUACAUGCUGAAAACUCCGACUUCGGAAGGAGGGUGUUUAUUAGAUACAGAACCAAUGCCCUCCCGGGCUUGCUGGUGAUUCAGAAUAACCCGUCGAAUCGCACGGCCUUGCGCCGGCGAUGGUUCAAUCAAGCUUCUGCCCUAUCAACUUUCGACGGCUGGAUACGGGCCAGCCGUGGUGACCACGGGUAACGGAGGGUUAGGGCUCGACUCCGGAGAGUCCGCCUGAGAGACGGCGAACACAUCCAAGGAAGGCAGCAGGCGCGCAAAUUUCCCAAUCCCGACGCGGGAGGUAGUGACGAUAAAUACUGAUACAGGGCUCUUUUGGGUCUUGUAAUUGGAAUGAGUACAAUUCAAAUCCCUUAACGAGGACAACUAGAGGGCAAGUCUGGUGCCAGCAGCCGCGGUAAUUCCAGCUCUAGUGGCGUAUAUUAAAGUUGUUGCAGUUAAAAAGCUCGUAGUUGAUCAUCGGGCCUGGCCGCCCGGUCUGCCUCACCGCAUGCACUGGCGCGGCCGGGCCUUCUCCUCUGGGGAGCCGCAUGGCCUUCACUGGUCGUGCCGGGGAACCAGGGCCUUUACUGUGAAAAAAUUAGAGUGUUCAAAGCAGGCCUAUGCUCGGAUACAUUAGCAUGGAAUAAUAGAAUAGGACGCGCGGUUCUAUUUUGUUGGUUUCUAGGACCGCCGUAAUGAUUAAUAGGGACAGUCGGGGGCAUCAGUAUUCAGCCGUCAGAGGUGAAAUUCUUGGAUCGGCUGAAGACUAACUACUGCGAAAGCAUUUGCCAAGGAUGUUUUCAUUAAUCAGGAACGAAAGUUAGGGGAUCGAAAACGAUCAGAUACCGUUGUAGUCCUAACCAUAAACCAUGCCGACUGGGGAUCGGGCGGCGCUAUUUUUUGGACCGCCCGGCACCCUGCGCGAAAGCAAAGUGUUUGGGUUCUGGGGGGAGUACGGUCGCAAGGCUGAAACUUAAAGAAAUUGACGGAAGGGCACCACAAGGGGUGGAGCCUGCGGCUUAAUUUGACUCAACACGGGGAAACUCACCAGGUCCGGACACAACUAGGAUUGACAGAUUGAGAGCUCUUUCUUGAUUUUGUGGGUGGUGGUGCAUGGCCGUUCUUAGUUGGUGGAGUGAUUUGUCUGCUUAAU